CCUUGACGGCCCCAGAGCGCCUUUGACCGCCCGAGAAAGCCCCGAGCCACAGUCACCGGAGCUUCCCACAGUCACCGGAGCUUCCCACAGUCACCGGAGCAGCUUUCCGCCGGCUCCUGCCAGUGCUCGGCCUUCGGGGGCAUCCUGCCAGCUCCUGAGGCGGCAGAGGCAUGAUUUUCAUGGGGAAAGGGCUCUCCAGAGGCCUCCCAGGGCACUGUGCAUGGCCUUGUGAAGCAGGAAUUAGGACUCUGGGUGGUUAAUGGAAGGAAUCAGCAUAUGGGAAUCUUCUCAGCAGCUGGUUCCUGCUGUUCCCAGGAAAGGGCAUGAGUGGUGCCAGGCUGGCAGUGUCACCGACCCCCUCACCCGGGAUGAUCUGUCCUGUGUUUGCACUGGAGGUGUCAUCAGAGCCUGGUCAGGAGGGGUGGAACCAGCACUUGGUGUCACGAAAGGUGAAAACACUCCCCCUGCAUUUUUUGUAGCUAAAGGUAAACUUCCUUUUUUUGAGAAAACGGAGUGGCAUGAGUUCACAGUGCAUGUGCUUGGGAGUUAUGGAAUGAGAGUAAAUAACUGUGUCCAGUUUUGGAGCAGGACAGGAAAAGCAUUUACAAGUCCUCCUCCAAAGCAGAAUGUGGUUAUGAUUGAAAAACUUCCCCAGACUUGAAUGCCAGAAUUAUUUGGGUUGGAAUAGACCUCCCAGAUCAUUGAGUCUACCCAGCCCAGAGCACUGAGUGCCAUGUUCAGGCAUUCCUUGGACAGCUCCAGGGAUGGGGAUUCCACCAUUCCUUGGACAGCUCCAGGGAUGGGGAUUCCACCACUAAUUAGCAAUUUAAUUUCAUGGAAUCAUGGAAAUCUCUGGAGUUGGAGGGGACCCACAAGGAUCAAUCCUCACUUUCCACCAGCUGAUCAUUCCAAGUUCCCUCAGCCUCUCCUCACAUGCCUUCUGCUCCAGACCCUUCAACAUCUUCAUAGCCCAAAAAUGCUCCUUGCAAAUCCAUGCUGGAUUUUUAAGGUUAAUGUGUUUGAAUUGGUCUUUUCCACGUGUUCAUGCCUCUCUUUGGCCUUGAAUGGAAGAGCUGCUGCAGGAUUUCACUGUAUGAAGCAAUCCCUCCCCCAGCAGUGUUAGGACAGUGUUUGUACCUGGAUGGAUGUGCUGGGCUGGGCAGACAGGCAGAGUGCAGGUGCAGGUUUUAGCAAGCCUGGAGCUCUGGGAACAGCAGCCAGGAUGAACUCAGCACCUGUCGUAAUCUCCUGGUUUG
This 1256-nucleotide long non-coding RNA is filed under the name Cyanistes caeruleus (blue tit). Its description in RNAcentral is "lncRNA (ENSCCEG00000018117.1)". The record is from RNAcentral. Lineage: Eukaryota; Metazoa; Chordata; Aves; Passeriformes; Paridae.